Molecule: ribosomal RNA, 433 nt
Filed under: uncultured bacterium
Lineage: Bacteria
Description: partial 16S ribosomal RNA
Rfam family: Bacterial small subunit ribosomal RNA
Source: RNAcentral
AACGAACGCCGGCGGCAUGCCUAACACAUGCCAGUCGAACGAGACCUUCGGGUCUAGUGGCGCACGGGUGCGUAACGCGUGGGAACCUGCCCUUAGGUUCGGAAUAACUCCCCGAAAGGGGUGCUAAUACCGGAUAAUGUCUUCGGACCAAAGAUUUAUCGCCUUUGGAUGGGCCCGCGUUGGAUUAGCUAGUUGGUAGGGUAAAAGCCUACCAAGGCGACGAUCCAUAGCUGGUCUGAGAGGAUGAUCAGCCACACUGGGACUGAGACACGGCCCAGACUCCUACGGGAGGCAGCAGUGGGGAAUAUUGGACAAUGGGCGAAAGCCUGAUCCAGCAAUGCCGCGUGAGUGAUGAAGGCCUUAGGGUUGUAAAGCUCUUUUACCCGGGAUGAUAAUGACAGUACCGGGAGAAUAAGCUCCGGCUAACUCCGUG